RNAcentral lists this ribosomal RNA (449 nucleotides) under uncultured bacterium. Its description in RNAcentral is "bacterial SSU rRNA". It matches the Rfam family "Bacterial small subunit ribosomal RNA", at positions 354 to 796 of the family's 1533-position model. The record is from RNAcentral.
GUGGGGAAUCUUGCGCAAUGGGCGAAAGCCUGACGCAGCAACGCCGCGUGAGGGAAGACGGCUUUCGGGUUGUAAACCUCUUUCAGGAGGGACGAAGCUUCCGAGGUUAAUAGCCUACGGGGUGACGGUACCUCCAGAAGAAGCCCCGGCUAACUACGUGCCAGCAGCCGCGGUAAUACGUAGGGGGCAAGCGUUGUCCGGAAUCAUUGGGCGUAAAGCGCGUGUAGGUGGCUUGGUAAGUCCGGUGUGAAACCUUGGGGCUCAACCCCAAGCCUGCAUCGGAUACUGCCUCGCUUGAGUUCGGGAGGGGAGAGCGGAAUUCCUAGUGUAGCGGUGAAAUGCGCAGAUAUUAGGAAGAACACCGGUGGCGAAGGCGGCUCUCUGGAACGAUACUGACACUGAGACGCGAAAGCGUGGGUAGCGAACAGGAUUAGAAACCCGAGUAGUCC